UGUCAAGGAAACCAUGACGCAGACGGCAUCGGAUGUCCGAAGAAUGUGCAUGGCAGAGUUGAUGCAAUUCUGUGUCUACCAGACAUCAAACAACACAGGAGAGAGGUGUGUUGCAGACUCAAUUUAAUAAAUGCAAUUAUCGGGGCCUAUUCAGUGAUUUUCCAUGAAGUGACCACUUUUACAUAUAGUUGAAAUGCACGAAUCAUGCGGGAAAAUUAUUUAUACAUUCAAAUGUGCUGUAGAGGUAUAAUCAAUUGGACAGCGUGUUUGUUUAAUAUUAUGUUUGUCUCUCAUUUGAUCAGAUUGCUUUACCCUGAGGUAAACGUCAUAAAAGGGAUCCAGUGCAAGACGUGCAGGGGCUGGCUGCAUCAGGAUUGUGCUGGGAUUGAAAUGGAGCCGUUUGACUGCGGGUGCGAGGACUCCAUUGAGCAUCCUCGGUAUAACAUAAUUUAUCAAGGAAACAUAGUAUCAGUCAAAAAUACGAGGCUCAAAGGAUGAAAAAAUGAGGGCUUGCUCUUUUUCUUAUUUCUCUGCAGGAUCAAGGAUGCUGUUGACAGUGGAGGAAUUGAUGCUGUCUUUUCUAAGACACAGAUCAAGGUUGCUUUUGAAUGCACUAUCAGUUGUUAAAGCCACCGUUUCUUUUUCAGAUGAUUACAUUUUUGUCUCUUGCUCUUUGGUUUCAGACAUUACACGAUGAUCUACUGUCUGGAAAGAUCCGCUCCAACAGAAUGUUCCUUUGGAGGAAUCCCGCCACCUCACUCCGACUAAAGCAGCAUCUUAAGAUAAGGACACUAAGUUGGAGUGAGCAGCGCGUAAGUAAAAAUGCCAUCCAUCAUGAGUAUUUUUACUCUCAGGGGUGUUACAUUUGAAAGCUGUUUACUUUCUGUGUUUUUCUUCAAUAGAUGUUCGAGCUCCUGCGGUUCAUUGAGGAGGCAACAACCAUUUCUGAAAAAAUCAAGAGAGGCGAGAUUCACCUGCUUGAUUUUGUUUUUGAUGUCAUGCUCCCAGAGGUGAGUAGAUCAAACUAUAUAGCUUGCUUUGAAAAUUGAUGAUAUUGUUAAGAGGUUGUUCUUAUUCAUUUGGAAAGCUCAAGAACAACAAUUAACCCAUACUGCAUAACUUCAAUUGUUCACAUUAUUUGACUGUUUUUCAGCUUUUGAUCAAAGCACUUCAGGAGCAUGGCAUCACCCGGUUCAGAGCAGAGCAGAUGAUGGCCCGUGGCAA
Molecule: non-coding RNA, 1224 nt
Organism: Xyrichtys novacula (pearly razorfish)
Lineage: Eukaryota; Metazoa; Chordata; Actinopteri; Labriformes; Labridae
Source: the annotation of a GenBank genome assembly